RNAcentral lists this ribosomal RNA (1909 nucleotides) under Avitellina centripunctata. Its description in RNAcentral is "SSU rRNA". It matches the Rfam family "Eukaryotic small subunit ribosomal RNA", at positions 102 to 1380 of the family's 1831-position model. The record is from RNAcentral. Lineage: Eukaryota; Metazoa; Platyhelminthes; Cestoda; Cyclophyllidea; Anoplocephalidae.
UAAAUCAGCUAUGGUUUAUUGGAUCGUACCCGUUAAAUGGAUAACUGUAAUAACUCUAGAGCUAAUACAUGCCUCGAAGCCCUGACCCUGCUGCCUACUUGUCGGCCUGUCGGGCGGAUGGGUAGGUAGGUGGGGAAUGGGUGCACUUAUUAGAUCAGAAGCCAACCGACUGUGUGUGCGUGCUUGCAUGUGCACCAGUUGAGGCACCUCUGGUGACUCUGGAUAAUUGUUACACAUCGCAGUCGGCCUUGAGUCGGCGACGGGUCCUUCAAAUGUCUGCCCUAUCAACUUUCGAUGGUAGGUGACCUGCCUACCAUGGUGAUAACGGGUAACGGGGAAUCAGGGUUCGAUUCCGGAGAGGGAGCCUGAGAAACCGCUACCACUUCCAAGGGAGGCAGCAGGCGCGCAAAUUACCCACUCCCGGCACGGGGAGGUGGUGACGAAAAAUACCGAUGCGGGACUCCUUCAAGAGGCUCCGUAAUAGGAAUGAGUGGACUCUAAAUCCUUUCACGAGGAUCAAUUGGAGGGCAAGUCUGGUGCCAGCAGCCGCGGUAACUCCAGUUCCAUAGCGUAUAUUAAAGUUGCUGCAGUUAAAAAGCUCGUAGUUGGAUCUCGGUGGUAUUGUUGCCUGUUGGUAUUUGAGCGGUAGUGCGCGACCGACAGUGCUCUAUUGUUCUGCUCGCCUCGACUUCUGUCUGCCUACUCGUCAGUUGGCUCUGCAUUGGUGCUAUUGUGGCGCGAUUGCAUGUGCCGGAUGCUGGAGGCGGGAGGUCGGCGAUGUUGGAGAUGGUGUGGCUGCGUCAUAGAAGAGUGCUACCGAAUCAAGCCGACGAGGUGGCGAUACAACCUUUAAGCCAUGUCUGUGGUGUAACAGCCGCAGGUGCGGGCGGGUGUUGGAUUGUGGUUAGUGGCCGUGCUGCUUGCUAAUUCCUAGCCCUUAGCACAGCGCAUUGCAGUGCAUGGGUAGGUUGGUGAGUUGGCUGGUCUGUUGACCGUGCGGUCGGCUCGUCUGCAUGCCUGAGGAUGCCCUUCAGUGGGUGUCCAAUUGGGCGGAUGGCACGUUUACUUUGAACAAAUUUGAGUGCUCAAAUCAGGCCGAUGUUGCCUGAAAAGUUUUGCAUGGAAUAAUGGAAUAGGACUUCGGUUCUAUUUCGUUGGUUUUCGGAUCCGAAGUAAUGAUCAAAAGAGACAGGCGGGGACGUUUGUAUGGCUGCGCUAGAGGUGAAAUUCAUGGACCGUAGCCAGACAGACUAAAGCGAAAGCAUUCGUCAAGCAUGUUUUCAUUGACCAUGAGCGAAAGUCAGAGGCUCGAAAACGAUCAGAUACCGUCCUAGUUCUGACCAUAAACGAUGCCAACUGACGAUCCGUGGUGGUAGUGCCAAAUACCUUCCCCACGGGCAGUCCCCGGAAACCUUUAAGUCUAUGGGUUCCGGGGGAAGUAUGGUUGAAAGCUGAAACUUAAAGGAAUUGACGGAAGGGCACCACCAGGAGUGGAGCCUGCGGCUUAAUUUGACUCAACACGGGAAAACUCACCCGGGCCGGACACUAUGAGGAUUGACAGAUUGAGAGCUCUUUCUUGAUUUGGUGGUUGGUGGUGCAUGGCCGUUCUUAGUUGGUGGAGCGAUUUGUCUGGUUAAUUCCGAUAACGAACGAGACUCCAGCCUGCUAAUUAGUGCGUUUGUCCACUGCAUUUGCGUGGGUGAUGUGGGACGAGGCUGCUGCCACACGUCUGUGCUUGGUCAUCGCUCUGCUGAUUCGCCUUCGUCUUCUCCUACUGUUCUACGUGGUGGCUGCUCUUCGUGAUGUCUUGUCUUGUCUGCACUUGCUGCUGAUGCAGGGUCGUGGUAGUCUGCACAGUUGGCGGUGUAGAGAAGGAGAUUGGAGGAGUGGUGGCUGCUAGGGCGGGUAG